GAUGAAGAACGUAGCGAAAUGCGAUACUUGGUGUGAAUUGCAGAAUCCCGUGAACCAUCGAGUCUUUGAACGCAAGUUGCGCCCGAAGCCACUAGGCCGAGGGCACGCCUGCCUGGGCGUCACACGCCGUUGCCCCCCCAUCUACUCCUUCGGGAUUGCGGGGGGCGGAUGAUGGCCUCCCGUGCGCCUAGCCGCGCGGUUGGCAUAAAUACCAAGUCCUCGGCGACGCACGCCACGACAAUCGGUGGUUGCGAAACCUCGGUUGCCCGUCGUGUGCGUUCGUCGCGCAUCGAGGGCUCGAAAAGAUGCUCGGCUCCGGCUGGGCUUUCAACGCGACCCCAGGUCAGGCGGGGUUACCCGCUGAAUUUAAGCAUAUCAAUAAGCGGAGGA
RNAcentral lists this unclassified non-coding RNA (390 nucleotides) under soil metagenome. RNAcentral's name for it is "partial contains 5.8S ribosomal RNA, internal transcribed spacer 2, and large subunit ribosomal RNA". The stretch from base 1 to 122 matches the Rfam family "5.8S ribosomal RNA", at positions 35 to 154 of the family's 154-position model. The record is from RNAcentral.